This 253-nucleotide ribosomal RNA is filed under the name uncultured bacterium. RNAcentral's name for it is "partial 16S ribosomal RNA". It matches the Rfam family "Bacterial small subunit ribosomal RNA", at positions 524 to 776 of the family's 1533-position model. The record is from RNAcentral.
UACGUAGGGUGCGAGCGUUGUCCGGAAUUAUUGGGCGUAAAGAGCUCGUAGGCGGCUUGUCGCGUCGGAUGUGAAAGCCCGGGGCUUAACUCUGGGUCUGCAUUCGAUACGGGCAGGCUAGAGUUCGGUAGGGGAGAUCGGAAUUCCUGGUGUAGCGGUGAAAUGCGCAGAUAUCAGGAGGAACACCGGUGGCGAAGGCGGAUCUCUGGGCCGAUACUGACGCUGAGGAGCGAAAGCGUGGGGAGCAAACAGG